This 253-nucleotide ribosomal RNA is filed under the name uncultured bacterium. RNAcentral's name for it is "partial 16S ribosomal RNA". It matches the Rfam family "Bacterial small subunit ribosomal RNA", at positions 524 to 776 of the family's 1533-position model. The record is from RNAcentral.
UACGUAGGGUGCAAGCGUUGUCCGGAAUUAUUGGGCGUAAAGAGCUCGUAGGCGGUUUGUCGCGUCUGCUGUGAAAACGCGAGGCUCAACCUCGCGCCUGCAGUGGGUACGGGCAGACUAGAGUGCGGUAGGGGAGAUUGGAAUUCCUGGUGUAGCGGUGGAAUGCGCAGAUAUCAGGAGGAACACCGGUGGCGAAGGCGGGUCUCUGGGUCGGAACUGACGCUGAGGAGCGAAAGCGUGGGGAGCGAACAGG